CCUGUAUUUUUUAAUAAAAGCCCAAAGGCAAAGCAGGAAGGUGUUGUUCAGUGUGACACAUAUGGGGAUCUCAAUCCAGCUGCCAGCUUCCAGAGCUACAGGGACACUUCUAGCCAUGAUGGAUUUUGAAGCCACCUUGAGUUGUCUUUGUUCCUACUAAAGAGGAGUACAAAAACUCCCCUGUACUCACAGGGGUACUAGACCCAGCCCAGUUCUCUGGAAAACACGACCAGAGGAAAACAUGGUCUAUAGUAUGAAUUGUUCUAACUCUGUGCCAUGUGCAGCAUUACUGCAGGAGUGAACGUCAGUGCAUGAGCAUGCCCUGUUUUUAUCCCUUAUCUUGCCCUCCCUGGAGGUGGAAGCUCCUACCAGCUCAUCCUCAGCUGCCCUUAAAAUGGAUUCAUUUCCAUCUUUGUGAGCAGACCCCCUGCAAGUACAGUUCUGGUGGUAAUCAUGCUGGCCACCUCUCCAUGCAUCCUUCCUACCCCAGCCCAUCAGUGUUUUCUUGAGUAAAGUCCUCUGGAUGACAAAGGCCAGGAUUCAGCCAGGUCUGUUUAUGAUGUGUUAAUCACUUUGCAGCAUGAACCGCCAGACCCCCACGAGUGAGCCAGUUCUCAGGCACAGCUGGCUCCUAGAGAAAGGAUAAUUUAUAAUCAUGACACUUCCAAGGUCUCUCUCUUUUUCUCCCCUUCCCCUUCAUAGUCCUUGUUCUCAUCCCAACUGGUGAAUGUGGGACAGACCACCCCAGCAUUUGCAGGGGGAGGCUGCUUUUCUGGUUUCCUAGCAUAAUGCUGUCUCAUCCUGAAACUGCAUAUUUGGUGCACUUUUAUUUGAACUCAUUUGCAAAAUGACAGAUGUUUCUGAUACGAUAAGAAACGUGGCCCAGAGGCGCUGCAGAGCUGCUUGUGCUCCUCACCUGAAUCACAAAUGAGAUAAUGCUUUCUUAUCUGUUAAAAAACACGAGCAACUGCACAUAUAAAUAACACGUCACUAAGUGCCAGCUGUUUGUGCCAAUGACAUUUUUCUUAAAAGAACAGCUCCCCCCGUCAUCUGCUUUCUCUCUUGUAGAAAAUCUGGAGCUCUUUUGCAAGCACAGCAGAAAAGAUGUUUUUUCUUUUUUAAGCUGCAGUUACUUUAAAAUAAUUCCAUGUGAGCAAAAAACAGCUUUUAUGACUCAGAGAUGCCCUUCAUGAUACAACAGGAGCUGGCCAGAUAUAAUCCCAGCCUUCCUCUUCAGUUCUGCACCCUCAUGUGAAGAGACCAUUUUUGCCUGGAGCUGAAUAACCCCAAGAUGCACCUCUGCUGCCUGCCUGCAUGAAGAGGCUGGUUAUUAUCUUUGAUACUGUGACAUUCUGUAAAGCAGCACUGAGUACCAGGGAGUGACAGAGCAUCUCCUGUGCUGUGCUGAUUCAUGGCAUGAACUUGUGCAGAGUGAUGAAAUACCUGGAUCAUGUCAAGAUGGCUCAUUUCUAGAUAGUAGCUAAUAUCUAAAUACUAGAUGUUAUGUGACAAGCUUGAAGGCCAGAAGAUAAUGUUCAGGGAUGAUGUCUGUACUCAAAAACAUAAUCUGCUGGAAGCCAAUGUAACUUUACGUGUGAGUGUGGAGAAUAUGCAUGACUGUAAAUUCAGGAACAGGCUGAUACUCAAGUACAAGGUUGAAUAAGAAAGGUUAAAAAAACUUUUUCAAAGAAAGCCUCUGAAGUCCAAGUGUACUGUUUAUCAUCUUGUUGUACCAAAACAAAAUGUGUACUUUGUAAUAUACUGAGAUGUACUUUGACUUGGAAUUUUCCAGAGUCAUCAGUGUGGUGUUGUUUUUAAUCCUUUCUCAUCUUGCUGUUUUCUGACUUCCUUUUCCAGGCUUUGAAAUUUUUAUCCUGAAUUUCUUCUUUUGCUUUUAAUUAAAUAAAAAAAAAAAAUAGUGUUUUAUCCUCAGAGUCUACUGCCACACUACAGAAUUUAAAAGUCGCAGUGUUUCACACACCUCUAGCGGCAAACCCUCUUCGUUGCCAAGACAACCCUGAAGAAAUACGAAAUCCAGAACAAUACCCUGUGUACGAGGAGCCUCGUAUUCUCUGGCGCACGCGUUCGUUGUGAAUGUCAAGGGAAACGCUGCCCUACCCUCCACAGCGACCCAGCUCAGCCUCCUCCCAAUUGCAUCUAAACAACUCUUCAUGUGACUCUGCAGCAAGCCACAUCAGGAACUGCUGGUAGUUAAGACUGUGAACAAGAAACCCUGUAAAAUAGAAAGGAUUUUUGUUUUUUCCUCUUUUGUGUAUGUGUUUUGGUUUGGUUUUUUGCUUCAACUAGACCAGUGCCUGAUCAGCAUUGCUCCCAGGAACAGCUACUCUGGCCCAGCUGAAAGGCCUGAGUGUUGUGUAGCGGGGGGGACACUGGCAGGGGCUGAUGGUGGGAACUCUGUGACAGCACUGCCACCAAAAUCUGCAAAUCAGGAAACCGUAGCCAGUAAAACAUUGCUUCAUUCAGCAGCAAAACAGAACAGCUGCUGUGUCUC
Molecule: non-coding RNA, 2512 nt
Organism: Cyanistes caeruleus (blue tit)
Lineage: Eukaryota; Metazoa; Chordata; Aves; Passeriformes; Paridae
Source: RefSeq, a predicted model, not a curated record